UUCCAAAUUAGCUCUUCACUUAGAUCCUCAAAUUAUUGGCUAAUAAUCAAUAAGGUCAUUAGACUUUAAUAAUAAUGCACUUAAGUCCUAAUUUUUAAUUUAAAAUUCGGGAUAUUACAGAGUGAUAGCUUGGUUGUUCCCCUUAAUCAUGCGUGUGGACAGAACUCGCAUUGGUUGUUUUUGAUCCUCCGCUCCUUUGUACAGCACUGGUAGCUCAAGUUUGUAAGCAACCUUUCCAACCUUCUGUACUACCUGAUAAGGCCCAUAGUAUUUUGCAGCCAGCUUCUUGUUUAACCUCUUAGCCACUGUCUCUUGAGCAUAUGGGUGUAACCUGAGCCAAUCAAACUUGAGUUUGAGAAGGUUUACUAUCCAUAUCUAUUGAUUAGUAAGAAGAGGUAUGCUGGUCUUUACUGGACAAACCCAAACAAAUUUGAAAAUAUGAACACCAAAGGUGAGCCAGGCUUUCGACCUUUUCAUGGGAUUUUCAUGUUAUCUCUUUUAGUUAUUACUAAGGGUCUUUCAAAAACUGGAGAUGAUUAUGAAGUUAAAGAAGCACAUGUUGAGCUUGCGAAACGGAUGCGCAAGGUCUGAAGAGUUCAUUUCUUUGAUUGUUAAUCAUGACAAACAGCACAUAUUCAAUGAAAUAUUACACUUGUUAGCUUGAUAAAAGAACUUAAAAAUUUAUCACGUUCAACUUUGAGAAUUGCCUGAAAUACACUAUAAGAAGCAUGAAAUUGAAGUUCAACAUUCCUUUAACAGAUGGCAUAUAAUGUUCUCACUUUUUGAGUUGCCAAUUGCAGUUCCAUGUACUUGGUAAGAAUAUCAGAGUUUCAUUUUUCCUUUUUUGGGAGGUGACUGAGGUUAGUAAACAAAAAGGGUGUAGAAAUAUAGAGUUUCUAAUAUAUGUCUUUUCGCAAGCCAAAAUGCUUCUUAUGUAGGAUGUGUUUGAACCCCAUUUUUUGUGGGAAAAUAGGUUCUGUAAUCGUGAUUUUUUUUUCUUUUUUCUUUUUGAGAAUAUGCGGUUAAAAAGAAGGGAGAAGUUUUGGUUUUAUGUGUAAAAUAAUUUUAUUGGGAGAAUGUGUGAUUGAAAAUGAGUUUGAGGAAAAAUGAAUUUUUGGAUAAUGGGGCUCAAACAGUGGCAUAAUAUACUGAAAAGUGUAACUUGUGCAAAACUGUGGGAUCUUUUUCACUUGACUAUGGUCCUGAUAAAAUUUCUCUAUGGUCUGUAUGCUUCUACUUUUUCUCUCAAUUUUGCUGAUAUGUUCUCUCUGUUGGUGUAUCUUCUUACAGCGGAUCUACUAUUUAUGUUAAAAACCAAUUGGUGCAGUAUCUAAACAGGUUGCUAGAAGAAACAUAUCCUAUUUAACUAUUACCAUAGACCCACCUUAUGAAGCAGGGUUUGUGGUCCAGCUGUUUCUCUUCAUGUCUUAGUAUGCACUCUGUUCAGUAUCAUUUUAAGGAGAUAAUUUUCCUUUCUUCAGUAUCUUUGGUCAGGGGUCUUCAUAUAAGUUAGUAGUAGUCAAUAACAAGUCAGUGUUGAUUGUUCUAUUUAAAUAUUCCAUUGGAAUACAGAUUGAACUCUCUCAUGACUUCAAUUUAGGAUUCAUAGUUAGUGUUUUCAUGCUCCGUCCACUGUAUUUUUUAAUAUGAAAUUCUAUGACAAUUUUUUUAUUAACGGUGAGAUGCUGCUACCGCUCCAAAUGUCGGGGAUCGAGUACUUUCUGUCAUUAUUAAAGCUGCGAAAGGUCCCAAGGCGUAUGAAAGAUCAGAGGAUCCCAUAUGUGUGUUAGAACACAACAUACAUAUAGACCCUCACUAUUACCUCAAAAAUCAAAUUAGCAAGCCACUUCUAAGGAUCUUUGAACCCAUCCUGAAGAAUGCUAGUAAAGAGCUUCUCCAAGGGAGUCACACAAGAUCCAUAUCUAUCUCUACUCCUUCAAACAGUUGCAUAAUGAGAUUCGCUAAAAAAAUAACUAACUUGCAUCGGAUGCAAAGCUUUACUCAGCAAUUCAGAUCAUACUCUCCGCUCGCACUGCAAAGAAGCUAAUGCUCUUCGGGAGGCUAUGGACACAAUGCCGGGAGUGCCAAGGUUCUCUUCACCAGGAUGUGCUGUGCACUAGUUGAGAUCGCACAGUAUUUUAUUGAAGGAAGAAUGCACAGAAAGACAUGGCUGAAGCCAAGCUUCCAUUGGAUCGAUGGAACUACUGAUACACUAAAGGUUGUUUUACUGUAUGAAAUAAUAGAUGCCUAUUAUAUAGUUCCAGAUAUUUUCGAAUGUGCGUGCUGAAUCUGAAUGCUUCCAAAGGGAUGGGAUGAAAAACUGAAUCUGAAUGCAUCCGAAGAGCAGUUAGGGACCAGACGGGUAAUAUUUCAUCUCGUGGAUAGUUGGUGUUGGCUUGAUGGCUCUUAAUGCAUUAAUCACCAGUGCCAGUGUAUAUUUUUUGACGAUGAAAUGCAACGUAAUGAUCGGUGUGCGAAUGUUGAGUUGUUGAUUGAUGGAGUCAAUCAUCACCCAGUCACAGAGUUAAGAUCCAGUUUCUAGUGUAUCAAGUUUGAAGGUAGCAAGUCUGUUUUUGUGAAAGAUGUGUUCAGAAUUUGGGUUUGAGUUGUUUUAUAGUUGCAUUAGCUUAAAUCUUAUGAAACAAUAUUCUAACGAGUGUAGAAUGUUGCCAACUUAAGCAUAUAAAGUAUCUCAAAUAUAUCA
This is a long non-coding RNA of Olea europaea var. sylvestris, 2704 nucleotides long. RefSeq lists it as uncharacterized. The record is from RefSeq and is a predicted model, not a curated record. Lineage: Eukaryota; Viridiplantae; Streptophyta; Magnoliopsida; Lamiales; Oleaceae. The transcript is spliced from 9 exons.